GCCAAACUGGAGCCCAGCCAGCAUGCAGCUACGAAGCUGAAUUCCUCCCUGCUGCCCCUGGACACACACAAAAGGCAGACCCAGGUUGCCACAGCCUCUCAGAUGGAAUACUUGGCAUGUGGCAAUCAUGAAAAUGAAAAUCAUAUAGUGCUAGAAGAAGAUCAGUGGAGUCUAAGUCAUUGGUAACAUCAAGGAAAGAAGAUAAAUGUUCCAAGAGACAUGCAUGACAGGAAACACCAAAACAUCCUUUCUGACUCAUGCUACAUCCCUCUGUUAUUGGAGCCAUACCUCCCUCAUCUUUUAAUCUUUCCUUACUGGGCAGUUACCUGGAGAGUUCUGAUAGAAUGUGCAAGUAUCAAGAAGUGAAAUUAAUGCCAUUGAGCUACUUUAUUGGACAGUUUCUCUAUCCUGGAAAAAAAUGGAAUACUUAUGCAUGCGUAAACUGUAAAAUAUGAAUCGUG
Long non-coding RNA from Heterocephalus glaber (naked mole-rat), 461 nucleotides. The record is from Ensembl. Lineage: Eukaryota; Metazoa; Chordata; Mammalia; Rodentia; Bathyergidae.